AGGAAUCGGAAAUGCAUAAUUAAUUGAAAAGGCAAUCAAUAUUAAUGGAAACCUCUUAUUAAAUUAAUUGUAGCAUCAACAAAUUGAUCAACGGAUCCACCAAUCUUGCUUUUAUUUAGCUAUUAUUUUCCUUCCUAUAAAGUCUAUAUCAUUAUUGUUAUUUAUUAUCAUCAUAAAAAAAAAGUAAAUGAUUAAAUCAACAACAUACAAGAGGCAACUAGAAGAAAAGGACAUGAUCACCGACAAUCACCAUUCACGAUCAUUGGUGGGUGGCGGUAGGCAGUAGCAUGGAUUGGAUUUGUAUAUGUAAUAUGAAUUUACAUGAUGGUGCAAGGCGCUGUUGGAUUUUCUUCACAGAUGUAAUCUGAGCAACGACUUCUGUAAUAACCUCUAGUAUCGCAGCCGCCAGCCCAACCCUCAUACACUGGCCUUCCACAGUACCCAUCAUAAUGCCUCGUUUGCCCAUAGCCAAGAUCGUAACAUGGUCCCCCACCGCGCCCCUCAUAACAUUCCCUGCAGCACACCCCGACCGGCGGGUGACACGGAACUGGAGCCGGUGCUGGUGCAGGUGCCGGUGCCGGUGCCGGUGCCGGUGGUGGUGGUGAUGGUUUUGGUGGCUCUUUAGGCUUUUCUGGCUCUUUGGGUUUCGCAGGCUCUUUAGGUUUCUCGGGCUCUUUAGGUUUCUCGGGCUCUUUGGGUUUCUCCGGCUCUUUGGGUUUCUCAGGUUGUUUUGGCUUCUCGGGUUCUUUGGGUUUUUCAGGUUGUUUUGGCUUCUCGGGUUCUUUGGGUUUCUCAGGUGCUUUUGGCUUCUCGGGUUCUUUGGGUUUUGGUGGUGGUGGUUUAGGCUUUUCAGGUUCCAGGAUUGCAAUACUCUUGAUUGAACCUUCACCUUUGCAGCAUAGUUUGUCCCUAAUCUUUUCAGGACUGCAGCACACUACUUUUAUUCUCACCGUAUUCGUCUUCUCAUCGAAUAUCUGGUCUUGUAUUUCUCUUGUUCAUAAAGUUUUCAACAUAUAUAUAUAUAUCUUAGCUCACUGAUCCAUAAUAAACCACUUUUAUUGACAAAUACAAAAAACACAAUCCCACGACUAAUUAAUUAUUAAAGUGAUCGGAGAUAGAGACACUUACGAGGGAAUUUGCAAAGUACUUUCUUGACUUUCUUGUAGCACUUUGAGCACUGAAGGUCAACCUUCAGCACCAUCGUCGUAACCUUCUGUAAACAUUACAGAGAUAGUUGAUUAAUGAAUGAUUUGUAGCCAUCACUGAUAUUUAGUAAUUACAGGCCAGGGAGUGGGAAAUAUUUUAAUGGUUAAUUUCUGAAAUUAAAGAAUUAAUCAACAACAGAAGCAACUCUCUCUUUCUCUCUCUCUCUCUCUCUCUCUCAAUCAUCAUGAGAUGCACAUAAAAAAUUUAACCAAAAGGGCAAUUUACAAAC
This 1435-nucleotide long non-coding RNA is filed under the name Citrus maxima (pomelo). RNAcentral's name for it is "long non-coding RNA (CMAX_LNC001144)". The record is from RNAcentral. Lineage: Eukaryota; Viridiplantae; Streptophyta; Magnoliopsida; Sapindales; Rutaceae.